RNAcentral lists this ribosomal RNA (119 nucleotides) under Periophthalmus magnuspinnatus. The record is from RNAcentral. Lineage: Eukaryota; Metazoa; Chordata; Actinopteri; Gobiiformes; Gobiidae.
AGAUGUGGGCCAACCUCCUUGUCGAGGCCUGAUCUCGUCAGAUCUCAGAGGCUGAACUGGGCUGGGCCUGGUGAGGGUUUGGAUGGGAGACCGCUGGGAAUUCCAAGUUGUUGUGACCU